Molecule: long non-coding RNA, 275 nt
Organism: Rosa rugosa (rugosa rose)
Lineage: Eukaryota; Viridiplantae; Streptophyta; Magnoliopsida; Rosales; Rosaceae
Exons: 3
Source: RefSeq, a predicted model, not a curated record
GUGGAAUUGGAAUAUCUAUUUGUUCCCCUUGUGGUGUUUCGGAGUGGUGAUUCGAUACUUUGUUCUAUUUCCGGCAAGGGUACUGGUCUUGACUAUUGGAUGGAUAAUUUUCCUUUCGGCAUUCAUUCCUGUGCACUUCCUACUCAAAGGCCAUGAAAAAUUGAGAAAAAAUUUAGAGAGAUGGUUGGUGGAGUUAAUGUGUAGCUUCUUUGUUGCAUCUUGGACUGGGGUUGUGAAGUACCAUGGACCAAAGCCUAGUAUGAUGCCAAAGCAGG